AUGUCCCCCCUGCCCCCCGCCACAGCCACAGGGGGCUCAGCGUGUGCCCCUGCCCCUGUCCCAGCCACAGGGGGCUCAGCGUGUGCCCCCACCCCUAUCCCAACCACAGGGGGCUUGGGCAUCUUCCCACCCCCCCAUCCCAGCCACAUGGUCUCAGCAUGUCCCCCCACCCCGUCCCAGCCACAGGGGGCUCGGGGUAUCCCCCCAGCCCCCAUCCCAGCCACACGGGGCUCAGCUUGGCAGGUCACCCUCUGCUGGCACCCGGCUCGGGCCUCGAGCCGCGUGGCCAGGGAUGGGUUUUCAGUGCGUAUUUGUCUCCUGGUUUCCACUCGGGGCUCCUCAUUAGGACCUCAGCUGUGCCGACCUGCGCCUCUGCUAGCGCUGGCAGGGCCCGACGUGCGGCCGCCUGGCUCCAGAGAGGGGAAGGGGCUGAAAGGGCUGCAGAUUCUGGUCCAACUCCAAAGAAAGAGGGGCAUGAAAGAGCCUUCUUCCCCGGGCUUUUCACAUGGAAAUGAGGCCGGAAGCCCCACAGGAGGCGCUGGCCCCAGGAGCAGGGUCAGGGUGACCUCCGGCCCCCCGGGGCCCUUGGAGCCCAGACCCCCUGGAGCUCAGGCCCCCGGAGCCACCAGUGCCAAACAGGGUGACGUGAAUGUCAGGCCUGCGGCCCCGCGGCAGGCAGAGCCCCGGAUGCUCCAAUUAAUCAUCUCAGAGCCCUGGGCGCCCAGCAGCACGACCUGGAGCACGUCGGCCGGCGGCGUCCGUGCCUGGGGCAGGCUGGGCCGCGGCGAUGCCAUGAGGCUGCCGGGCAGACGCCCCCACUGGGCUGUGGGUCCUACUUCCAGAAGCUUGGAGGGCGCCAACACAGCCGUAACGGCCUUGGGUUCCAGGGGGCGGCGAGGGGAGGAGACAGAACAGGCCGCUCAAUGCAAGUGGGUGCUCUCCUCCUCCUCGGGGCCGGGGGCUGGGAAGACCCAGACCCCUUGUCUCAUGGGAGAGAGACCCACACUGCCAGGGCAGGCCUCUCUCUCUCUCUCUCUCUCUCUCUCUCUCUCUCUUUCUAUCUAUCUAUCUAUCUAUCUAUCUAUACAUAUAUAUAUAUAUACACACACACACACACACACACACACACACAUUUACUUACCUAUAUCUGUAUUUAUCUUACGCUCUGAUCAUAAGUCUGUUUGCCAGCAUUUCUCCCAAACUUUCUGUUUUGUGGAUCAUUUCCUUGCUGUGUAG
This 1236-nucleotide long non-coding RNA is filed under the name Oryctolagus cuniculus (rabbit). RNAcentral's name for it is "lncRNA (ENSOCUG00000037735.1)". The record is from RNAcentral. Lineage: Eukaryota; Metazoa; Chordata; Mammalia; Lagomorpha; Leporidae.